GUAGGUGGCAAGCGUUGUCCGGAAUUAUUGGGCGUAAAGCGCGCGCAGGCGGUCCUUUAAGUCUGAUGUGAAAGCCCACGGCUCAACCGUGGAGGGUCAUUGGAAACUGGGGGACUUGAGUACAGAAGAGGCAAGCGGAAUUCCAAGUGUAGCGGUGAAAUGCGUAGAGAUUUGGAGGAACACCAGUGGCGAAGGCGGCUUUCUGGUCUGUAACUGACGCUGAGGCGCGAAAGCGUGGGGAGCAAACAGGGAUUAGAUACCCUGGUAGUCCACGCCGUAAACGGUGAGUGCUAAGUGUUAGGGGGUUUCCCGCCCCCUUAGUGCUGCAGCUAACGCAUUAAGCACUCCGCCUGGGGAGUACGGCCGCAAGGCUG
Molecule: ribosomal RNA, 374 nt
Filed under: uncultured organism
Description: partial 16S ribosomal RNA
Rfam family: Bacterial small subunit ribosomal RNA
Source: RNAcentral